UACGUAGGUGACCAGCGUUGUCCGGAUUACUGGGCGUAAAGAGCGCGCAGGCGGUCGUUCAAGUCGAGUGUGAAAGCCCCCGGCUCAACUGGGGAGGGUCACUCGAUACUGAUCGACUUGAAGGCAGGAGAGGGAAGCGGAAUUCCCGGUGUAGUGGUGAAAUGCGUAGAUAUCGGGGAGGAACAUCAGUGGCGAAGGCGGCUUCCUGGCCUGUUCUUGACGCUGAGGCGCGAAAGCUAGGGGAGCAAACGGGAUUAGAUACCGAGAGUCGAGUCC
Molecule: ribosomal RNA, 276 nt
Filed under: uncultured bacterium
Lineage: Bacteria
Description: partial 16S ribosomal RNA
Rfam family: Bacterial small subunit ribosomal RNA
Source: RNAcentral